Non-coding RNA from Acanthosepion pharaonis, 113 nucleotides. The record is from the annotation of a GenBank genome assembly. Lineage: Eukaryota; Metazoa; Mollusca; Cephalopoda; Sepiida; Sepiidae.
UUACGGCCAUAUCAAUUUAGGACACCGGUUUCCGUAUGAUCACUGAAGUUAAGCAACCUCGAACCUGGUUAGUACGUAAAUGGUUGAACUCUUGGGAAUACCAGGUGCUGUAA